RNAcentral lists this unclassified non-coding RNA (353 nucleotides) under soil metagenome. Its description in RNAcentral is "partial contains 5.8S ribosomal RNA, internal transcribed spacer 2, and large subunit ribosomal RNA". The stretch from base 1 to 120 matches the Rfam family "5.8S ribosomal RNA", at positions 35 to 154 of the family's 154-position model. The record is from RNAcentral.
GAUGAAGAACGUAGCGAAAUGCGAUAAGUAAUGUGAAUUGCAGAAUUCAGUGAAUCAUCGAAUCUUUGAACGCACAUUGCGCCCGCCAGUAUUCUGGCGGGCAUGCCUGUUCGAGCGUCAUUACAACCCUCAGGCCCCCGGGCCUGGCGUUGGGGAUCGGCGGAAGCCCCCUGCGGGCACAACGCCGUCCCCCAAAUACAGUGGCGGUCCCGCCGCAGCUUCCAUUGCGUAGUAGCUAACACCUCGCAACUGGGGAGCGGCGCGGCCACGCCGUAAAACACCCAACUUCUGAAUGUUGACCUCGAAUCAGGUAGGAAUACCCGCUGAACUUAAGCAUAUCAAUAAGCGGAGGA